Molecule: ribosomal RNA, 207 nt
Filed under: uncultured bacterium
Lineage: Bacteria
Description: partial 16S ribosomal RNA
Rfam family: Bacterial small subunit ribosomal RNA
Source: RNAcentral
CUCGUAGGCGGUUCGGUAAGUCGGGUGUGAAAUCUCCGUGCUCAACACGGAGCGGCCACCUGAUACUGCCGUGACUCGAGUCCGGUAGGGGAGUGUGGAAUUCCCGGUGUAGCGGUGAAAUGCGCAGAUAUCGGGAGGAACACCAGUAGCGAAGGCGGCACUCUGGGCCGUGACUGACGCUGAGGAGCGAAAGCGUGGUAGCAAACA